UGGGGAAUAUUGCACAAUGGGCGCAAGCCUGAUGCAGCCAUGCCGCGUGUGUGAAGAAGGCCUUCGGGUUGUAAAGCACUUUCAGCGGGGAGGAAGGCGAUAAGGUUAAUAACCUUGUCGAUUGACGUUACACGCAGAAGAAGCACCGGCUAACUCCGUGCCAGCAGCCGCGGUAAUACGGAGGGUGCAAGCGUUAAUCGGAAUUACUGGGCGUAAAGCGCACGCAGGCGGUCUGUCAAGUCGGAUGUGAAAUCCCCGGGCUCAACCUGGGAACUGCAUUCGAAACUGGCAGGCUAGAGUCUUGUAGAGGGGGGUAGAAUUCCAGGUGUAGCGAUGAAAUGCGUAGAGAUCUGGAGGAAUACCGGUGGCGAAGGCGGCCCCCUGGACAAAGACUGACGCUCAGGUGCGAAAGCGUGGGGAGCAAACAGG
This 429-nucleotide ribosomal RNA is filed under the name Chloroflexota bacterium. RNAcentral describes it as "Chloroflexi bacterium partial 16S ribosomal RNA". It matches the Rfam family "Bacterial small subunit ribosomal RNA", at positions 355 to 776 of the family's 1533-position model. Lineage: Bacteria; Bacillati; Chloroflexota. The record is from RNAcentral.